Molecule: ribosomal RNA, 371 nt
Filed under: uncultured bacterium
Lineage: Bacteria
Description: bacterial SSU rRNA
Rfam family: Bacterial small subunit ribosomal RNA
Source: RNAcentral
GUAGGGGGCGAGCGUUGUCCGGAAUCAUUGGGCGUAAAGCGCGUGUAGGCGGCUCAAUAAGUCUGGUGUGAAACCUUGGGGCUCAACCCCAAGCCUGCACUGGAUACUGCUGAGCUUGAGUCCGGGAGGGGAGAGCGGAAUUCCUAGUGUAGCGGUGAAAUGCGCAGAUAUUAGGAAGAACACCGGUGGCGAAGGCGGCUCUCUGGAACGGUACUGACGCUGAGACGCGAAAGCGUGGGGAGCGAACAGGAUUAGAUACCCUGGUAGUCCACGCCGUAAACGAUGGGCACUAGAUGUGGGCGGUGUCGACUCCGUCCGUGUCGAAGCUAACGCAUUAAGUGCCCCGCCUGGGGAGUACGGCCGCAAGGCUA